ACCUAUGAAAGUCCAAAGGAAACACAACUUCUUAAAAUUUUUAAUGAAAUUUUUUUUAUAAAAGUAUAAUGUGAGAAAAGUCAAACACAGAAGUUCAUGUAACCGGGAUGCAAGUCCUCCUCCUCCCCAGAUACACAUGUAUGGUGGCAGCUCACUGUGGAUCUAUCUUGGAAGGGGAGCACAACUGGCCACCCCCAAAUGCGCCUCUCUGGCACAAGGAUUAUCUGGAGCUGGUUAUUUUUUAAGAAACAGCAGACCUAAGAAAAGCUUUGAAAACCUUUUGUCAGGGACACGGCCAUCAAUAAGGGAAGGAAAGGUCCAUCUAUAAGGGUGUCUUCCUCUCCCUGCCAGGACGAGGGGAUGACAGAAAUCUCUAAGAACUCUUUUUUUAAUUUUUAAUUUUUAGUACAAGUGAGUUGUUAAAGGGCAGAUUUUUUUUUUAAAUUAACAUUUAAUGGAAAAGGGACCAAUCGACAUCUGCUGAACCACUUUACCCUUGUUCACUAUGAUUUUCCUGACAGCCCCCCAUAAUGGACUCCCUUACGCCCCAACAUCUUGUCUUGAGCUGGAGAUGGUAUUUAAGGUGGUGUCUUGGGCCACUUUGGGGAGUUUAACUGUUUUCCUGGGUAUCUCCCAUAUAUACAGGAGGUAUACAUGGUAUUAAACUUCUGCUUUUCUCCUAUUAAUUAUUAUUUCAGGGGGUGGGGGUCUCAGCCAAGAACCUAGCAUGGUAGAUGAUAAGUAAUUUUUCCUCUCCUACAUUUUGGCAACCUACGCUGGGGCCUGCUGAAACACCGUACUCGCCUGGGAGCCUACAGAUGGGAGCGUGGAAAACCGGCAAAAGCCGGCAAAGGACACAAUUGGAAGCAUGGUUAUAUUACCAAGGCUUUGACUGGAAUGUCAUAUUUGAAAAUAAUAUGCAUAAAAUCAGGUAUGACCAGAACUUUAAGGAACUAAGAUUGACUUUAUGGAACCAAUAAAGCUCCUUGGAAAAAAUGGACCUGUAACCUUGCUUACAGAAUUCUGGACAGCCUCACCAGAAAUACAGCCUAAUGUGCCAUGAUGCAGUCUUAUUUUAGAAACACAUUCCGAGGACGAUACUUACAGUCCCACCCAUGUGGGGAGGCAGAUACUCGACACUGACAUAGUCCUGGACUUCAUUUUUGCUGGU
Long non-coding RNA from Mirounga angustirostris (Northern elephant seal), 1171 nucleotides. RefSeq lists it as uncharacterized. Lineage: Eukaryota; Metazoa; Chordata; Mammalia; Carnivora; Phocidae. The transcript has 3 exons. The record is from RefSeq and is a predicted model, not a curated record.